Molecule: transfer RNA, 76 nt
Filed under: Actinotalea ferrariae CF5-4
Lineage: Bacteria; Bacillati; Actinomycetota; Actinomycetes; Micrococcales; Cellulomonadaceae
Description: tRNA-Arg
Rfam family: tRNA
About the family: Transfer RNA (tRNA) molecules are approximately 80 nucleotides in length. Their secondary structure includes four short double-helical elements and three loops (D, anti-codon, and T loops).
Source: RNAcentral
GCCCGCGUAGCUCAGGGGAUAGAGCGUCUGCCUCCGGAGCAGAAGGCCGCAGGUUCGAUUCCUGCCGCGGGCACCC